GGGAAUGUGGCUUAGUUGUAGAGUAUUUGCCUAGUAUGCAUAAGCCCUGGGUUCGAUUCCUCAGUGCCA
This 69-nucleotide transfer RNA is filed under the name Dipodomys ordii (Ord's kangaroo rat). It matches the Rfam family "tRNA". Rfam says of the family: Transfer RNA (tRNA) molecules are approximately 80 nucleotides in length. The record is from Rfam by way of RNAcentral. Lineage: Eukaryota; Metazoa; Chordata; Mammalia; Rodentia; Heteromyidae.